UACCGAAUGUUAACAAAGGCAGUUACCUUUGCCACACCUUAUUAGCCCCCGUCCAGUCGAUCAUCUUUUGCAUAUCCGACAUAUCGAAUACAACCCAAAUUAGCCAGCCAAUCCGACUUGCAGCUCCGCUUAAUUGGUGGAAAGUAGCGUAACCGUUCCGGCCACGUUAACUUUGGCACUCCGAUCCGACUGGCGAUGGAACCCGCUCAGCAGCCGGCCAACUUGGCCAGAAACAGAAGACACUUGCUGGGCAGGGAUGCCAAAAGGAAGCUGACAAGUUGCCAGCCAAGGAGCAACAGAUCCCGCCAAGCAUUCCAAAUCGAUUACGACUGUUUUUCCAAAGAUCAAAGAGCGAGUGGGAUAUGCAGCCAUCCCGUUUUAGCAGCUAGCAAGGUGUUUAUUAAUAAAACUCCAACCAUUUCGCCUCGAAAGAGACGCACACAGGGCGAACGAAAGAGAUGGCGCGAAACAGCAACAGAAACAGUUGGUGGUACGCAAAGUGUUGACAAUGCACAAAGUUGGCACCGACUGCGCAACGACCUUCUAGGAUCCUAGGGUCCUCGAGCAAUCAUCGUUAAUGAUGGCAAUGUCCUUGUGCGCCCCGAUUUGACAAAUCAAUUUGUGCGCUAACAGCAUGCGCUCGACUCGCAGUCCGUUUGCAAGUCAGUGGGAUAGUUCGAGGACGAGCCAAGGACUCGACUCGCCCAAUAUGCACACAGAUAUAGCAUCUUUCUACAUGGGCGAUGACAGCGAUCACAGUACGAGUAGUUGGCCCAAAAGGACCAAACCGAAAUGUUUGCCAAUACGGCUGGAAACUGUUUGGGCAGAUCGUGGUGUGCAAGUGUAGCUGCUAACAAAUGGGUUUUAGAGAUUUGUGAAUAUAACGAUCCCAGUAACUCAAUCAAUCUUCAAUGUGGGAUGCUCUAAAAGUAGAACUAGCAUGUCCUUUUCUAUGAAUGAAAAUU
This is a non-coding RNA of Drosophila melanogaster (fruit fly), 965 nucleotides long. The record is from Ensembl. NCBI's taxonomy places the organism in Eukaryota, Metazoa, Arthropoda, Insecta, Diptera, Drosophilidae.